GCUUGAAUAGUUUAAGAAAAAAAUAUUGGUUUGUGGGGCCAAAGAUAUAAUAUUUAUUUUGAGCA
This 65-nucleotide transfer RNA is filed under the name Palaemon modestus. RNAcentral's name for it is "tRNA-His". Lineage: Eukaryota; Metazoa; Arthropoda; Malacostraca; Decapoda; Palaemonidae. The record is from RNAcentral. RNAcentral also lists the same sequence under 1 other name.